This 1023-nucleotide unclassified non-coding RNA is filed under the name Hevea brasiliensis (rubber tree). The record is from RNAcentral. Lineage: Eukaryota; Viridiplantae; Streptophyta; Magnoliopsida; Malpighiales; Euphorbiaceae.
GAAAUUAUGUUGAUUUAAUUCACAAUUUUAAUAAUAUAAAUUUCCUCUUUAAUUUUACAAGUUACCAGUACCAUCUAAUUCAGGUUUUUCCUAUUUAGGGAGCAUUUAUAAAUGUGUACAAUUAGGAGAAUAUGUUUAAUUUUCUUUCCAUUUGUCUUGAAUAGGAAUUGGGAUUAAAAGGAUAGUAAAAGGAAUAAUUUUUAGACCUCUGUAAAUGCCCAAGAAACAUAGUGUUUUUCUUUGGCUUCAAGUAAUAAAAUAUUUGUUUAUUAUGAGUGGUUUAAAAUGUAAUCAUUUUAAAACAACCUCCUAAUUAUAAAAUCCAUUUCCAUAGAUUUUAACUCCAACACUCAUCAAUUGAUUAUGAUUUUCUCACCCGUAAAAGCAUUAAGCAGAUAUUACUGAACAAUAUUCCUAAAUCAUCUAUAUCUCAAAGUCAACAAGGUCAUAGUAAUAGAUCUAAAAUUUAAAACCUACUAAUGUUCAGAUGGCACAUCAAACUUCCAUGGAAUUGAUAAUCUGGGACAACAAAUUCUAUUCACCAAACUAAACACAAACAUUCUCACCACACGUGACAAAUAUUUCUGAAAUGAUAGUGCUAACUAACCAGAAGUGGGUCUAAUAAGCUCAAAUUGUAUAAAAGAAAAUAAAACAAUUUGAUAAGUAAAAAACAAAACACAAUGCUUCAACUGUAUAAAUCACUUUUAGAAAAAAUGGAAAUAACAGUUGAGCAACAACCCCCAACAAUAAGAAGACAGCACUGUGGAUAUAAACGAUACAGAGAAAUCAGGGUUCCACCAGAUGGCUAUUGUACCUAGAACUUAGAAGAAACACUACGUGCUGUAAUAUUUUUUUCAAUAAGACAUAAAUGCUUAAAAUCAGCACAUAAAGAUCAAGAGUUGUUCAAUUACCACUGCGAACUCAACAAAAGCAAUGCGUGUUGAAUGAUGAUAAUCCCCAAGAAGCCUCAAGCGAUGAACCUCUCCACAAAGUGAUUCAAAGAAGAGUUUGACAUCUGCCUGG